CUCCUGAUUUGAUUUCCUCAUGUGGACAAUGGGGAUCAGUACAGCUAUCCCUCAGGACUGCAGUGAUCAUUAAACAAGCUAGUGUGUCUAAAGUGAUGAACAUGGUAUCUGGCAGAGACUCAGUGAUGACUAAGGACUGCGGUGGUCGACCAACACUAGCUGAGCUAUCCCUCUCCCAGUACUCCUUCCUGAUCUCUGCACAAAUGGGAUUGAAUUGGAGUAUCCAAUUGGAACACCUUUCAUCUCUCGUGGAACCUCAAUUUCUGAGGGGAGUUGCUACUUCUGUUUGGAGCCUGUUGGAUCUCUGGGCUGUACCAUUUCAGAAUCGGUGGGACAGCUUCUGAUCUCCAGUUCUGAGUAUCCUGAGCAUGGGCAGUGGAGCAGAGCUACUCCUGCCUGGAGACGUGUGUGAGCCUUUCCCCCUCAACCUGCCUGAGGUGACUGAAGAGAUGUCAACAGGAAGGACUUCGUGAAAGGCAAGUGUCAGGGAUCACUGCAUAGGAAGCUGCCUCUGAAAUACUGAUGACGGAGCAAGGAUUGAUUUUUCCAGAAGAACCUCAGGAGAGUUCAUGAAGAAAUGAGGAGAAUCAAGUGUAACUGAGACUUCUUCCCCUCAUCAUGACACAUCUGGCCUUCUUGGAGGACAAUGCAGAUCUGCUGUAGGACUCAAAGGCUGAGUGGAUCCUUCCAAGACCAGCAGUGUCAGAGGUUGCAGUCCAUGAUUCCACGGAUGCCAAAGCAGGAGGAACUUGAAGCAGCUAAGUCACAUUCCCAGCAGAGGAGGGAAAACGGCACAUAUCCCUGCUUGCCAGGUCUUAGCUCCCUCUUUCCAUUUCAUUCCGAUCAGGACCCAGCUAGGCAAUUGUGCAGCCCACAUUCAGGAUAAGAGACAAGGUAAGAGAAGAUAAAUGCCCAAGGCCCCAGGGAGAGCAGGAGGCAGCACUGGACAACACAUCCAACUCUGUCUCCCUGUGGAUAUUCAUGGAUUCUCUUGGACAAAGUUCUACAAGAUGGUCGGACUGACUGAGGGGUGGUGCCAACCUAGCCUUUGACUUGGGCUCCUUGGAGUCAUUUACCUAGUGAUCAGAGUCAAUGUCCCUCUUCUAUACUAUGUGUGGACAGUGUCUGAGUCUUUACGCAUCUGAGCCUCUAGGGGUGUUCUGGGCUAUACAAUUAAAGGUAUUGUCG
Long non-coding RNA from Apodemus sylvaticus (European woodmouse), 1188 nucleotides. RefSeq lists it as uncharacterized. The transcript has 8 exons. Lineage: Eukaryota; Metazoa; Chordata; Mammalia; Rodentia; Muridae. The record is from RefSeq and is a predicted model, not a curated record.